RNAcentral lists this transfer RNA (73 nucleotides) under Pangasianodon hypophthalmus (striped catfish). Its description in RNAcentral is "tRNA-Glu". It matches the Rfam family "tRNA". From Rfam's summary of the family: Transfer RNA (tRNA) molecules are approximately 80 nucleotides in length. Their secondary structure includes four short double-helical elements and three loops (D, anti-codon, and T loops). The record is from RNAcentral. Lineage: Eukaryota; Metazoa; Chordata; Actinopteri; Siluriformes; Pangasiidae.
UCCCUGGUGGUCUAGUGGCUAAGGAUCCUGUACUCUCACCACCACACCCUGGGUUCGAUUCCUAGCCAGGGAA